AUUUAUAAAGGUUAUAAUCCUUUUCUUUUUA
This 31-nucleotide transfer RNA is filed under the name Drosophila ambigua. Its description in RNAcentral is "partial tRNA-Met". RNAcentral also lists the same sequence under 18 other names. Lineage: Eukaryota; Metazoa; Arthropoda; Insecta; Diptera; Drosophilidae. The record is from RNAcentral.